AGACAAAGUCAGAGACAGAGUUCAGCACACAUCAGUUUGAAGCCGGUAGAGGACAAGAGCUAGAGAAGACAAACAAGGAGAGACAGAAAUAAAGAUAUACAGGAAAGAAGAAAAGAAGGAAAAAGGCCAUACACCAAAAAGCUUUUGUAACUGUCUCUUGGGAUCCAUCCAGCAAACUGCAGAGACUUCACUUUGUGUCCAAGUUACCACACACAAAAGCAGCGUGACUGGGAAUCUACUGGGAGGACAGACUGGUUUGUACUCAGUGUGAGCAGACUGCCAAACACCAUGGCUGACAACGUGAACGAGGAGUCGGAUUAUAACCCAGGGAAAGAUGAGCUGGACUGGGGCUACGAGGAAGGUGUAGAAUGGGGACUCCAUUUCCCAGCAGCAAACGGAGAGUACCAGUCUCCGAUUAACUUAAACUCCAGGGAGGCUCAGUACGACCCGACCCUCCUCGACGUCGGCCUGUCACCGAACUACGUGGUGUGUCGAGACUGUGAGGUCAUCAACGAUGGACACACCGUUCGCAUCAUUCUCAAGUCCAAGUCAGUGGUUACUGGGGGGCCAUUGCCAAGUGAUCACGAGUAUGAGCUCAAUGAGGUUCGAUUCCACUGGGGCAAAGAGAACCAAAGAGGAUCAGAGCACACUGUCAACUUCAAGGCUUUCCCCAUGGAGCUCCAUCUGAUUCACUGGAACAGCACUCUGUUCAACACUUUGGAGGAUGCUCUUGGGAUGAAGAAUGGAGUCCUUAUCAUAUCUCUUUUUGUGCAGAUUGGUAAGGAGCAUCUGGGUCUGAAGGCCAUCACUGAAGUUCUUCAGGACCUGCAGUACAAGGGGAAAAACAAGAUCAUCCCCUGCUUCAACCCCAACACUCUGUUACCUGACCCCUUACUGAGAGACUACUGGGUGUAUGAAGGCUCUCUGACCACACCACCUUGUAGUGAAAAUGUGACCUGGAUCCUCUAUCGCUACCCUCUGACCAUCUCACAGUUACAGAUUGAGGAGUUUCGGAGGCUGCGGUCCCACACUAAAGGGGCAGAACUGCUAGAAGGAAAUGAUGGGUUGUUGGGGGACAACUUCCGCCCCACACAGCCGCUCAGUGACCGGACAGUUCGCGCCGCCUUCCAGUAAUCUUCCCUUUCCACGGAUGAUUCAGAAAAACGAUGGGACCUAAUGGUACAAGUAUAAAAGAAGAGAAGAACAAAGAGUCGAGAAGAGCGGGGAGGAAAUAUGAAAGGAGAAACAGAGAGAUAAAGCUGCAGACUGAAGGGACAAAGAAACUAUUGAUCUCACACCAACGUGUGCUUUUGUGUGUGUGUGCGUGCAUGUGUGUGUGUGUUUGUCUGCAUGAAUGUAGGUGUAUUACUUUUCUUUGUUACCCCUGUCUCUCUUUCUAAUAUUUACUGCAGUCAUGUGAAUGUGAAAUCCAUCUUGUGCUUGAGCGAGUAUUGGGGGUGUGUGACAAGUAUUACUGUAAUGUGUGUGUGUGUGUGUGUGUGUGUGUGUGUGUGUGUGUGUGUGUGUGUUUUGUGUGUCCAGAUUAGAUGAUGGCAGACGUAACAAUCACCUUGUCUCUGCUGUCAUAACACGAGGAAACAUGAAACCACAGACGCACCUGUACACACACAUGCAGACACACACACAAACGUACAGAUUCAAACCGCGCUGUGACCAAGACUCUGAAACACACUGAAAAGCUCUACACAUCAAAGCAAAUACACACACACACACACACGAGCUGCAUGUGUUUAUGUGCUGCAUCCAAUAUGUAGAAACACCUGAAGUGGGUCAUUAUCUGUUACAAACUAAACAAGCUGCUGCAGAUCUGCUCGAAAAGUGAAGGGAAAAACCUCCAUAUUAAAAAAACUGAACAUGAAUACAUUUCUAUGAUGAAAUCACAGCUGAAGGUAGACUGGCCACCAUUAUAGCGGUUGCUCUUUAAUGGUCAGUCGUCAUAAAUCCAUAUGUAAACAUGUAAACAAAUUUAACAAAUGCAAUACUUUUUAAUGAAUUCUUCAUUUUAUAAUCUGUUGUUGUUGUUGUUGUUUUGGAGUUGGAAACAGAAAUAAAGCCCAAAGCCUCUGCUCCUGGAAAUCUA
This is an RNA transcript of Labrus mixtus (cuckoo wrasse), 2101 nucleotides long. It is a transcript of the gene named carbonic anhydrase VIII, with no coding region annotated. Lineage: Eukaryota; Metazoa; Chordata; Actinopteri; Labriformes; Labridae. The record is from RefSeq and is a predicted model, not a curated record. The transcript has 9 exons.